Molecule: ribosomal RNA, 460 nt
Filed under: uncultured bacterium
Lineage: Bacteria
Description: partial 16S ribosomal RNA
Rfam family: Bacterial small subunit ribosomal RNA
Source: RNAcentral
CCUACGGGGGGCAGCAGUGAGGAAUAUUGGUCAAUGGACGAGAGUCUGAACCAGCCAAGUAGCGUGAAGGAUGACUGCCCUAUGGGUUGUAAACUUCUUUUAUAUGGGAAUAAAACGUUCCACGUGUGGGAUUUUGUAUGUACCAUAUGAAUAAGGAUCGGCUAACUCCGUGCCAGCAGCCGCGGUAAUACGGAGGAUCCGAGCGUUAUCCGGAUUUAUUGGGUUUAAAGGGAGCGUAGGUGGAUUGUUAAGUCAGUUGUGAAAGUUUGCGGCUCAACCGUAAAAUUGCAGUUGAAACUGGCAGUCUUGAGUACAGUAGAGGUGAGCGGAACUAGUGGUGUAGCGGUGAAAUGCUUAGAUAUCACGAAGAACUCCGAUUGCGAAGGCAGUUCACUGGACUGCAACUGACACUGAGGCUCGAAAGUGUGGGUAUCAAACAGGAUUAGAUACCCCUGUAGUC